RNAcentral lists this transfer RNA (72 nucleotides) under Ovis aries (sheep). It matches the Rfam family "tRNA". From Rfam's summary of the family: Transfer RNA (tRNA) molecules are approximately 80 nucleotides in length. Their secondary structure includes four short double-helical elements and three loops (D, anti-codon, and T loops). The record is from Rfam by way of RNAcentral. Lineage: Eukaryota; Metazoa; Chordata; Mammalia; Artiodactyla; Bovidae.
UCCCUUGGAGCUCAGUUGGUAAAGAAUCUGCCUCCAAUGCAGGAGACCUGGGUUCGAUUCCUGGGUUGGGAA